GAAAAUUUAUAUUUAGCUUUAAAAUUUUAAAUUGUAGAUUUGAAAUUUUCAAAUUUCAAAUAUAUUUUUUAAAUUAAAGUAGAAAAUUUUAAAUUUUGUACAAACUUUAAGUUUUAAUUCAAAAUUUAAAUUAUUUGAAAAUAAAAUUUUGUAAAAAUAUUAUUAUAUGCAAAUAUUAAAAUUUUUUUGUCAAACAACUUUACAAAAUUUAUUACUUCAGAAAAAUUAUUUUUAAUCUAAACUCAGCCAAACGCUUUAUAGCUUUUAACCAAAAUUAUUUUUCUAAACCAACAUCAAUUCUACAGAAAUCACUUUUCCACAAUCUAAGCAAAACGGGCCCAUAGACAUUUUGAAUUUUCUAUCUAACCUUUCAAAAUUUUGAUUUUAUCAUUUUACCCUUCAAUGUAUUUGAUUAGAGCUCGUCAACGGUACUGUGAUUUCAAAAUUUAAGUUAAUUAUUUUCUUUAAUAAACUUAUAUAUUAUUGCGAGAAUCGUAUGAAAUAUACUAACUAAACUUUUAAAAUAAAUGAUGCAUUCAAAUUUUGAAUUCAAAAUAUUGUUCACUAACUGAAAUCAAAUAAGUUGAAACGGUAAAAUCAAAAUUUUGAAAGGAAGCUAUAUCAAAAUGGUCCAUAGUUUGGAAAAGUAUUAAUUGUAUGUUUCUAUCUUAUUAAAAUAGUAAUGCUACAUGUACGCCCAAAAAGUAUGCAUAAAUCUU
Molecule: long non-coding RNA, 719 nt
Filed under: Ananas comosus (pineapple)
Lineage: Eukaryota; Viridiplantae; Streptophyta; Magnoliopsida; Poales; Bromeliaceae
Description: long non-coding RNA (ACOM_LNC034292)
Source: RNAcentral